RNAcentral lists this ribosomal RNA (653 nucleotides) under Streptomyces rimosus. RNAcentral's name for it is "bacterial LSU rRNA". It matches the Rfam family "Bacterial large subunit ribosomal RNA", at positions 1 to 585 of the family's 2925-position model. Lineage: Bacteria; Bacillati; Actinomycetota; Actinomycetes; Kitasatosporales; Streptomycetaceae. The record is from RNAcentral.
ACAGUGGCCGCGAGCAUCUGUGGCCAAGUUUUUAAGGGCGCACGGUGGAUGCCUUGGCACCAGGAACCGAUGAAGGACGUGGGAGGCCGCGAUAGGCCCCGGGGAGCUGUCAACCGAGCUUUGAUCCGGGGGGUGUCCGAAUGGGGAAACCCGGCAGCCGUCAUGGGCUGUCACCCGUACCUGAACUCAUAGGGUAUGUGGAGGGAACGCGGGGAAGUGAAACAUCUCAGUACCCGCAGGAAGAGAAAACAACCGUGAUUCCGGGAGUAGUGGUGAGCGAAACCGGAUGAGGCCAAACCAGUCACGUGUGAUACCCGGCAGGGGUUGCGUGGUUGGGGUUGUGGGAGUUCUCUUGAUCGGUCUGCCGGCCGGUCGGUGAGUCAGAAACCGUUGAUGUAGGCGAAGGACAUGCGAAAGGUCCGGCGUAGAGGGUAAGACCCCCGUAGCUGAAACAUUAGCGGCUCGCUUGAGAACCACCCAAGUAGCACGGGGCCCGUGAAAUCCCGUGUGAAUCUGGCGGGACCACCCGUUAAGCCUAAAUAUUCCCUGGUGACCGAUAGCGGAUAGUACCGUGAGGGAAUGGUGAAAAGUACCGCGGGAGCGGAGUGAAAUAGUACCUGAAACCGUGUGCCUACAAGCCGUGGGAGCGUCGC